RNAcentral lists this unclassified non-coding RNA (300 nucleotides) under Glomeraceae sp. RNAcentral describes it as "partial contains 5.8S ribosomal RNA, internal transcribed spacer 2, and large subunit ribosomal RNA". The stretch from base 1 to 71 matches the Rfam family "5.8S ribosomal RNA", at positions 84 to 154 of the family's 154-position model. The record is from RNAcentral. Lineage: Eukaryota; Fungi; Glomeromycota; Glomeromycetes; Glomerales; Glomeraceae.
GUGAAUCAUCGAAUUUUUGAACGCAAAUUGCACUCUCUGGUAUUCCGGAGAGUAUGCCUGUUUGAGGGUCAGUUAAAUAAAAAUCGGUGUUUUGUUGCCGCUUUGCGUAGUGACGCAUCGGGUUUGGGUCGUCUUACCUUCGGUUAAGAGUCUUAAAAUUGAUAUCUUUUUUGCGCGCUUUUAGACGUACAUAAUUUUUUUUAUUCGUCUAUUCCGGUGCCAAAAUUUACUAGGUACGAUUAUCUUGUGCCUAUAAUUUCUCAUCUUUUGACCUCAAAUCAGGUAAGGACACCCGCUGAA